Molecule: unclassified non-coding RNA, 377 nt
Filed under: uncultured bacterium
Lineage: Bacteria
Description: contains 16S-23S intergenic spacer region
Source: RNAcentral
UCCGGUUUGUCACCGGCGGUCUCCUUAGAGUUCCCACCAUUACGUGCUGGCAACUAAGGACAAGGGUUGCGCUCGUUGCGGGACUUAACCCAACAUCUCACGACACGAGCUGACGACAGCCAUGCAGCACCUGUGCGGGCUCCCGAAGGAGCGCCGUGUUUCCACGGUUUCACCCCGCAUGUCAAGCCCUGGUAAGGUUCUUCGCGUUGCGUCGAAUUAAGCCACAUGCUCCGCCGCUUGUGCAGGCCCCCGUCAAUUCCUUUGAGUUUCGGUCUUGCGACCGUACUCCCCAGGCGGGGUACUUAAUGCGUUAGCGUCGUCACGGAGGGAGUCGACACCCCCCGCAACUAGUACCCAUCGUUUACGGCGUGGACUAC